UUAACGGAGAGUUUGAUUCUGGCUCAGAACGAACGCUGGCGGCGUGGAUAAGACAUGCAAGUCGAACGGGACUUACUUAGCUUGCUUUGUAAGUUUAGUGGCGGACGGGUGAGUAACACGUGAGCAACCUGCCCAGAAGAAGGGGAUAGCUCGAGGAAACUCGAAUUAAUACCAUAUGUGAUCCUGUGAAGCAUUUCGCAGGAAUGAAAGAUGCCUUCGGGUGUCACUUCUGGAUGGGCUCGCGGCCUAUCAGUUAGUUGGUGAGGUAACGGCUCACCAAGGCAAUGACGGGUAGCUGGUCUGAGAGGACGACCAGUCACACUGGAACUGAGACACGGUCCAGACACCUACGGGUGGCAGCAGUCGAGAAUCAUUCGCAAUGGGGGAAACCCUGACGGUGCGACGCCGCGUGGAGGAUGACGGUCUUCGGAUUGUAAACUCCUGUCAUCGAAGAGUAAGGCUUAUGUAUUAAUAGUAUGUAAGAUUGAUAGUAUUCGAAGAGGAAGGGACGGCUAACUUCGUGCCAGCAGCCGCGGUAAUACGAAGGUCCCAAGCGUUGUUCGGAAUCACUGGGCGUAAAGGGAGCGUAGGCGGUGAGGUAAGUCAGAUGUGAAAUUCCAGGGCUCAACCCUGGAACUGCAUCCGAUACUGCCUUACUAGAGUAGUGGAGGGGCAUCUGGAAUUCACGGUGUAGCAGUGAAAUGCGUAGAGAUCGUGAGGAACACUAGUGGCGAAGGCGAGAUGCUGGACACUUACUGACGCUGAGGCUCGAAGGCCAGGGUAGCGAAAGGGAUUAGAUACCCCUGUAGUCCUGGCAGUAAACGGUGCACGUUUGGUGUGAGAAGGUUCGACCCUUUUCGUGCCGGAGUUAACGCGUUAAACGUGCCGCCUGGGGAGUACGGUCGCAAGACUAAAACUCAAAGAAAUUGACGGGGACCCGCACAAGCGGUGGAGUAUGUGGCUUAAUUCGAUGCAACGCGAAGAACCUUACCUAGGCUUGACAUGCAUCUCUAAACCGGUGAAAGCCGGGGAGCGGAGCAAUCCGUAAUUUGCACAGGUGCUGCAUGGCUGUCGUCAGCUCGUGUCGUGAGAUGUUUGGUUAAGUCCAGCAACGAGCGCAACCCCUGUGAUUAGUUACCAGCACGUAAUGGUGGGGACUCUAAUCAGACUGCCCAGAUCAACUGGGAGGAAGGUGGGGACGACGUCAAGUCAGUAUGGCCCUUACGCCUAGGGCUGCACACGUACUACAAUGCCCAGUACAAUGUGAACCGAGACCGCAAGGUGGAGGAAAUCCUUAAAACUGGGCUCAGUUCGGAUUGUGGGCUGCAACUCGCCCACAUGAAGUCGGAAUCGCUAGUAAUGCCGUAUCAGCUACGACGGCGUGAAUACGUUCCCGGGUCUUGUACACACCGCCCGUCACAUCAUGGAAGCCGAUCACACCCGAAGUGCAUGCGCUAACUUCGGAGGCAGUGCCCUAAGGUGAGAUUGGUAACUGGGAUGAAGUCGUAACAAGGUAGCCGUAGGGGAACCUGCGGCUGGAUCACCUCCUUU
RNAcentral lists this ribosomal RNA (1551 nucleotides) under Verrucomicrobiales bacterium. Its description in RNAcentral is "bacterial SSU rRNA". It matches the Rfam family "Bacterial small subunit ribosomal RNA". The record is from RNAcentral. Lineage: Bacteria; Pseudomonadati; Verrucomicrobiota; Verrucomicrobiia; Verrucomicrobiales.